This 387-nucleotide ribosomal RNA is filed under the name uncultured microorganism. RNAcentral's name for it is "bacterial SSU rRNA". It matches the Rfam family "Archaeal small subunit ribosomal RNA", at positions 330 to 674 of the family's 1478-position model. The record is from RNAcentral.
GUGCAGCAGGCGCGAAACCUUCGCAAUGCAGGAAACUGCGACGAGGGAACUCCAAGUGCCUACGCUCAGCGUAGGCUGUUCUCAAGCCUAGAAAGCUUGAGGAGUAAGGGCUGGGUAAGACGGGUGCCAUCUGUGGUAGCAGUCAAUAGAUUCGAUUUGUUACUGCAAGGCAUAAGCCGCCGCGGUAAUACCCGCAGCCCAAGUGGUGGCCGCCUUUAUGGGCCUAAAGCGUCCGUAGCCGGCCCGGUAAAUGCCUGGGUAAAUCGUGGAGCCCCAACUUCACGAAUUCCGGGUAGACUGCCGAGCCUCGGGACCGGAAGAGGGAGAGGGUACUUCAGGGGUAGGGGUGAAAAGUUUUCCUUCCAUUAACGCUUUUGCGCGAAGCGG